Molecule: ribosomal RNA, 650 nt
Filed under: Metabacillus indicus
Lineage: Bacteria; Bacillati; Bacillota; Bacilli; Caryophanales; Bacillaceae
Description: bacterial SSU rRNA
Rfam family: Bacterial small subunit ribosomal RNA
Source: RNAcentral
UUCCGGGAGGUCAGCGGCGGACGGGUGAGUAACACGUGGGCAACCUGCCUGUAAGACUGGGAUAACUCCGGGAAACCGGAGCUAAUACCGGAUAUUAUGUCAGACCGCAUGGUCUGACAUUCAAAGACGGUUUCGGCUGUCACUUACAGAUGGGCCCGCGGCGCAUUAGCUAGUUGGUGAGGUAACGGCUCACCAAGGCAACGAUGCGUAGCCGACCUGAGAGGGUGAUCGGCCACACUGGGACUGAGACACGGCCCAGACUCCUACGGGAGGCAGCAGUAGGGAAUCUUCCGCAAUGGACGAAAGUCUGACGGAGCAACGCCGCGUGAGUGAUGAAGGUUUUCGGAUCGUAAAACUCUGUUGUCAGGGAAGAACAAGUGCCGGAGUAACUGCCGGCGCCUUGACGGUACCUGACCAGAAAGCCACGGCUAACUACGUGCCAGCAGCCGCGGUAAUACGUAGGUGGCAAGCGUUGUCCGGAAUUAUUGGGCGUAAAGCGCGCGCAGGCGGUUUCUUAAGUCUGAUGUGAAAGCCCCCGGCUCAACCGGGGAGGGUCAUUGGAAACUGGGAAACUUGAGUGCAGAAGAGGAGAGUGGAAUUCCACGUGUAACGGUGAAAUGCGUAUAGAUGUGGAGGAACACCAGUGGCAA